CACCGCCCGUCGCUCCUACCGAUUGAAUGGUCCGGUUAAGUGUUCAGAUCGCGGCGACGUGGGUGGUUCUCUGCCCGCGACGUCGCGAGAAGUCCACUGAACCUUAUCAUUUAGAGGAAGGAGAAGUCGUAACAAGGUUUCCGUAGGUGAACUUGCGGAAG
Molecule: ribosomal RNA, 161 nt
Organism: Prunus persica (peach)
Lineage: Eukaryota; Viridiplantae; Streptophyta; Magnoliopsida; Rosales; Rosaceae
Rfam family: Eukaryotic small subunit ribosomal RNA
Source: Rfam